UAAGUGUAAAUUAUAUUAGCUGUGAAAAUGAAGUUUUUUGGUAUUGUAAUAUUUAGUUUUGUAGUUAUCUCGGUUUUAUUAGUUAGCCAAAUAGAGGCACAGUCUGGGAUAUUGCAGUUCGCCACUUGUAUGGGAAACGACGACUGCACCAGGAUGUGUAACCGUAGGUGCGACCUCGGCGCUACCACCGGCUCGUGUAUGGGAAGCGUCUGCUACUGUGCCUUACUGUCCAGCGCUUAGCCAUUAAAUACUUGAGAACACCUUAAAAUUAAUACACAGUUAAUAAAUAAAUAAACCUUUUUUGACUG
Molecule: long non-coding RNA, 308 nt
Organism: Pararge aegeria (speckled wood butterfly)
Lineage: Eukaryota; Metazoa; Arthropoda; Insecta; Lepidoptera; Nymphalidae
Exons: 2
Source: RefSeq, a predicted model, not a curated record